RNAcentral lists this ribosomal RNA (207 nucleotides) under uncultured bacterium. RNAcentral describes it as "partial 16S ribosomal RNA". It matches the Rfam family "Bacterial small subunit ribosomal RNA", at positions 568 to 774 of the family's 1533-position model. The record is from RNAcentral.
CGCGCAGGCGGUUUGUUAAGUGAGAAGUGAAAGCCCUCGGCUUAACCGGGGAACGGCUUCUCAUACUGGCAGACUAGAGGAUGGGAGAGGAAAGCGGAAUUCCCGGUGUAGCGGUGAAAUGCGUAGAGAUCGGGAGGAACACCAGUGGCGAAGGCGGCUUUCUGGACCAUUACUGACGCUGAGGCGCGAAAGCGUGGGGAGCAAACA